Anas platyrhynchos (mallard) is the source of this 12397-nucleotide non-coding RNA. Lineage: Eukaryota; Metazoa; Chordata; Aves; Anseriformes; Anatidae. The record is from RefSeq and is a predicted model, not a curated record.
ACAGGAUUUGUGCUCCAGGCCCUUGACCAGCUUUGUAGCCCUUCCCUGGACAUGCUCCAGGGUCUCAGUGUCCUUGUAGCGAGGGGCCCAAAGCUGAACACAGCACUUGAGGUGCAGCCUGGUCCCACUCGUCAUGGUGACAGUGAUUUUUGGUAAAGUGUCAACAGAGCAGUGAGGCUUGAUUUCAGAAGAGAAUUCUGUUUUCUUAGUGUGAAUUUAAAAAGAAUUUCUAGUUAUGUUUUUGAGAUGAUGGGAUAUUUUAGCAGAUGGAACUCUGAAUGGAAGAGUCUUGUUUUUCAACACAUCAACUGUGCUCUUCGAAGACAUCAAGAAUGCACAUUGUUAUUAAGUAUAUCAUGUUUGCAUGCCUCAAGUAUGUGUGUAGUUUGUUUCUUACUGCAUUCCUUCUAAAUAAACACAGCAGGAUCCAUGAUGUAGCAUUUCUUUGCAGAUACGGUCUUACCAGUUUGAUACAAAGGAAAUCCUCUGAGAGAGGUAGUUUUAGAAUUUCGUAUUCUUAAAUCUCAAAAAAAAAAAAAAAAAAAAAAAGUGCUCCUUUACGGGUUUACCUGAAUGCUAGGUAUAUGGUAAUCGAUCUAGUGAUUUCCCUCUGCUGAGACUGGCAGAUGUGAGAUAUUUCACAGCAUCCUGGAAGGAAAGUAUGUAAAAACAAAACCACACAAACAAAGAACAACAACAAGAAACAUGAAAAAAAAAAAAAAGACACAAAAAUAGCAAAUGUCUAAACACUUUAUUUGGUUUGCACCACAGAUUUAUCUGGUGCUGUGUGGAAAGUCUGUCCUCUGCAAAAUUUUUACUGAAAAUGAAAUAUAUUCCAGUUACAUCUUUCUCUUAUUCAUACUUAGUUCAAUGGAGGUGAUAAACUGGUUGUCUAGUGACAGUUGGCUUAGAGAGAAGUGCUUUGGUUUACUUGGAGUGUGAUUUCAAGGUUCUGGGUAUGUAAACCAUACUUUUGAAUGGCUGAAAUACUAAUGCAACAAACUUUGAAUUUCAGUAAAUUAACAUGAACAGAUAAUUCCAAAUGUAUGUUAGCACUUUGAGAAAGAAGUAAAUGUUACUGUGUUUUUUCAUAAUACUUAAUAAAACGUGUGCAGCAUGCUCAUCAAAAGUGGGAAGCUGUUGUUUCAGCAAGAUCUUUCAGAAGGCACCAGACUAAAAGAUAUCAGUCACAGUCUUGCCCUCCAGCUUAGGUAUUUUAACUGUCGAGGAUCUUCAGGUGCAUUGGUGGAUCUAAACAGUUUUUGCCUUUUAUUCCAGAAGACUUUAUUCUCUGAUGGCUCUUAAAGGUGAUCUCCGGAUACUUCCAUGACUGGUGUAAUAAAAUGGAUGCAAGGUUCAGAACAGAGCACAGAGUAGGAGGCUAAUGCAUAGGAAAUAAAGUGGUAAGUGAUUGACAGAAUUAAGAAAGCACCUGAUUUACUUGUUUAUGUACAGUUUAACUAAGUGGAGGAACCAUAGUAUUUCCUCCUGUGCUACAAAAGAAAGCAUUUUUUUUUUUCAUAGAAAGUGUAUCCCAAGCUUUACAAAGUCAGUUACAUAGCAGAGACAUUUUUGCUCUAAUAUUUAGAUUUUUCAUUACUGCUAUUUGGAAUACCCUUAGAUUUUCAAAUCUAGAUUCAAAUCUUAAAUUUUCUUUUAUUUUAAAUUACUUACUGCUAUAGGAACAUGUAAAUUAUUAGCAUCCAAUUUAAAAUUCAUCAUGACGCUAAUUGAGAUCUGAAAAUGUAAUUCUGAAAGGACAGCUGUGACUGCACAGAUUUGUUACAUGAGUUCACUCAGGUUUUGGUUAUUAAUCAUCAGUUUGUUGAGAACACAAAGGCAGGUUUAACAAUGAGUGCUCAAGUCUGCGGAUGCCACAAAAUUUAAAUACCGAGGAGCCACUUAAACAGAGUAGGAUGAAUUAUUUAGUAGGGAGCUGUGAAAAAUCUGCAUUUUACUGUGGCCUAAAGUAGAACAAUGUCUCUAGGAGCAGAAGCUUGAGGUCAUACUUACCAAAUAGACCACUGUGUUGUAGGGAAUGCUGACUUUGAAGAGUGCCUGGAGGUGGGGUGCGUGCUUAGCUGAACUUGAAUUGUCAGCAUGCCUUGUGGCCAAACAGACCAGUGAGAUUUUCAGGUCUAGAAAUGGGAAUGUUGACAGGGAGGUAAUGCUGCUGUCUGUAUUUCACUUUGAUACAACCUUUUCCAAGAAUGCUGUGCCUAACUUUUCCAGUAAUACUGGAAAGUUGGACAGAAAAGAGUUGUAAGAGGAAUAAAAAGAUUAAAAAGGUAAUGUCACGGGAGUCUUGGUAAAUAGAAUCUGCUUAAGUUUAAUGAUAGGAAAGUUAGCCUAGAAGAAAAUUAUUGAAGCAAAAACUUGUUAAUAAAAUAAAGGUCUCUUCAGUCUAGCAGAGAAGGAGUGAUCGAGUGAUUGUAAAUACAGCUAGACACAUUGCAAGAAGUAAAGGCAGUUAACAGAUUGGUAAAGGUUUCUCUAGUCUGGAAGUACUAGAUGGUUUUCUGAACAGAUGUGAUUUGAUAGAGGAGAAAUUCAGGCGAGCCAGAUCCAUGUUAUGCAAGAGGUCAAGCUAAAUAAUCACAGCAGUCCUUUUUGGCUGCCCCAGGAGUAACUUACAUGCUAACAGAAGUAUGAACAAUAUUUCACAGAGGCCUGCCUGAGCGUUAAAGAUUGCAAACUCAUUUCAGUUCUGCUCUACUGUUACCAGUACAAAGAACAAGCUGUGCUCUAAAUGGGCUACUGGAUAUGUUUAGCCUUGUUCUUUCUGCCACUAGAGAAUUGCAAAUGGUCUACUAAUGCACAUCCUGACUUGACUCAUGGCUAUUAGGAUAUGGCUCAUUAGUUUUAAAUUUCAUUAUACAAUAUGUGUUGUGAUGGUUUGUGUAAUGCAUACUUUCAUUAUGAAAAUUAUGUGAACGUAAGUAGUAGGGAAUUGCCUAUGAAAAUGUCAGCUGUAUUGAAUGUAGCUAUUGAUUAUUUGUUUUUCUCAGCUUUUAAAAAUUAGACGUCUCUUAGAGAUUAUUAGAUGCUUUUGGACCCCUUCUUUCUAUUCUUGUUUACCUGGCAUUUCUCUGUGCUUUAGUGAGCAAUUUGUGAUCCAACAGCCAUUUUCAAUUCAUUUUCAGCUCACGAUAAGAUCUAUUUAAGACAAAUUGAAACAUCCAGUGUUUCCUUUUUAUAGUUCAACUUGACCUUUUGUAUAGCAACCAGAGAUGUUCCAUAAAGCUUAGCAGAGGUAGUAUGUGCAAAAGGGUUCUUUUCUAGAAAUGUUUUGAGAAAAAUGCUCAUAUUUUCUUACAUUUGAAACUAAUCCACUAAAUUAUAUCUAAAUAAAGUAGGCAUUAAGUGGGCUUUUAAAAUUAUUUAUUUAUUUAUUUAUUGCUAAAUGCAUGUGCAAUCUGUUUCUGUUUAAAAUGCUAAUAAAUGCAUACCAUCUCCUAAUGAAAGUUGUGCUCCCUGCAUAAUUAAUUAGCAUUGUAUACAGAUGAGGAAGGGAAAUCCAUAUUCACAGACAUUUUCAUCCAGAAUGGUUAGUAAAUGAAUAGUGUAGAUUUUGAAGGGUCAUAUACGAGUACCUAAUUUCUGUAUAAACGAUAUUUAGCAGGUAAAAAUUUAGCUAAGUUUACCUGGAGUCGUGGUUAUAUACAGUUUUAACCACAAGAUGGCAUUCCUAACAGAAAUUUGCUAGACAGUUUUCUGCAGUUUUUGAAGGCUAUCAAAUUAAAGGCUGUCAUAAGCACUUGUGAUGUUAUACAAGCCUUUUAUGUUUUCAUUUUUUAGAAAACCUAAUUAAUAGAAAUUUGACUAAAACUCUAUUGUAAGAAACCUUCGUGUUCAUUGAUAAGUGGGAUAUAUAGAAUUAUAAAUGUAUGAUGGUUCCAGGUCAAAGAAACACAUUAAUUCACAGCAUUGUAUACUGUUAAAGACUUUUCAACUGUAAAUCUUGAAUCAAUUUUGAUUUAAUACAAGCAAAUAAACUCAAUUCUUUAAUAUUUAAAUCAAGAGCACAAGUAAUGCCAAUAUCUUACAUGCAAACCCAAUUUCUUUGGGCUUUAGAAUAUGAUGUAGGAUAUGGGGCUUGUAUUGAGUUUUGGGAUAAGAAAGAGCAGAUAACUGUAUUCGAAGAAAACCACAGUAUAAAUACUGUGUCCUGCUGUGCAGGGGAGGAUUAUUCAUAGCUUAAUGUUGAAAUGACCAACCAAUGUAUUUUCAAAUACUCAUCAUUCAGACUUGAUAACAGAGCCCACUGGCAGCUCUGCUUUCUUUCAGGCUUUGCCUUUUUUAGUUUAUUAUUAUCUUUGCGUGCUAAAAGCCAAUACUCUGUUUUUCUUUUUCCUUAAAUUAAAUGCAAGCAUGAACAGAGCAAAAUACAACCUACUAAACCAAUACAAAUACACCAGGGACAUGCUUAUUAUACUUACAUUUCUUUUUCUGUGGUUAAAGUCCUCAUUUUACCUUGCUUAUUUUUGCUGACUCUGUAAGAUCAGACGUGAGCUAAGUAAUCAUUUAUAUUUCCAUUCUAGCUAGUGCCCUAGUUGCUUUGGUUUGGAAAAAAGACAUUACCUGAAGUUCAUACUUAAACUGGAAUCGAAUGAAGUUUGGGUAAUUUUUUUAUCAAGUCUAUUUCAAGUCAACAGAGAGAGCUAUAAUAGACUAAAUUUCUUUGUCUUGGUAGUUUUAGAUUUGUGGUACAGAAACUUUUGUGGCCAUAGAAUAUAUUCUCUAAUGCUUGUGUACAUUUCCUACUAAUCCUUCUGCUCCAUGUGCCACUCCUGCUGAUGCAUCAGCCCCUCUGGUUUUGGCUCCUGUUGUUUACCACAGCUGAGUGGACAGAGAAGUGGCUGCCUCCGUUCCUGACACUAAUGACAAUCUUCGCCGAGUGAGCGGGUACUGCUUUGACAUUCAGCAGCUGUUCUUUUCCUUAACAUGCUGUUAUACCUGUAUCAUCUUUCCGAGGUGGCUGUGCAAAACAAAAUAUGAAAUACUGUCUGCUGAAUACAAUUGUCAGAACAAAAAACAAAUGUGUUCUUGUAGUUAUCAGGUUGGUAGAAACUACCUACCGGUAGGACAUGGCACAAGGACUGCAGAGGCAGACCUUGUGAGUUAAUAGUAUCUGGAGCUGACUACCAGUAAAUUUUUAAGGUCUGAACGUUUCCUACAUGCUGCAAAUUUUCAAGAAGUAUGAUGAAAUGGAAAUGACUAUUUCAACGAUGUGGAAAAGGCACUAGGAAGAAACUUAUACAUAAUAAUUAUGAAAUCAAUGUUGAUAAGAAAGUAAAUGAUUUGUAAUACUGAUUUGUUGCCGUUACUUUUCAAGUUAAAUUACACACAGAAUUUUCUUUUUUUGUAAUUUGGCAUGGCACUAGGUGAUUAGAUGUGGACAGGUUCCCACAGAGAAGAGCAAGAAGCAUGUCCUACAGAGGAGGUUUUUAAAAAGGAAAGCCCCCAAUACUAAGGAAAGCAACAUCCUCUGCUCUCAAAGGCUGAUGGUUGGCACGUGGAAAGGACUUAUCCUGGAGAACAGUCAGUAAGCAGUACACACAACUUAACAGGCGAAAUGAGUUAAUCAAGGCAAAAGCACAGUUUAGGGUCCCCAGAAAUGCUGUAAUGAACAGGAUGUGAUGGACACAAACAGUGGAAAUCAGUGAACUCAGCCAGUGCUCGUGCUGCUUCUGGGACAUCUUAUGAUGUCAGAUCAGAUGGGUAUGUACUCCUGCUCCCAGAAAACGGGAAAUAAUGAAACCAAACUUGUGCUUUUGCCUGAGGAUCUCUCAGUUAGGUGACAGCCACAGAGAGAUCAUAUAACCAAGCCCUUGCAUAUAAUGCUGUCAGAAAAAAAUGGCCAUAAUGGCUGCUGUCAAAUAGUAGGACUAAUAUUUCAUAAAGGAUCUGCAAAUUGCUUUGCUGGUACAAAGCACGUCAGGGGCUAAUUUAAUGCAGCUUAUUGUUUGUGAGAGGUUGAUUAUGAAUGUUUGGAUUGCAUCUUAUAUAACUGCUGCUGGAUAAGCAUUGCUAUGAAUAAGUGUGAACUGGGAAAGAAAAAUGUGAUAUUGGGAAUAGUAACCACAAGCAUUAUUGCUUCCCGUAUGUAACAAACAUGCCUAGGGCAAGCAAGCACAAUUACCGAUAGAAGCUGUGUUUGUUCAUGCAAGUGAUUUUAUUGUUCUGAGUGAUUUAUCACUCUGGGUUACGUUUUUGAUGAAAGAUUUCUCUGGAAUAAUCGUACUGCUAAUGAAAUCUUCAGUAAGUGACCAGGAUUGCCUACUGGAAGGAAGUUGGGUUUAUGAAGUUCUUCCAUGAGGUUUUUAAGAAGGCAGGGUGCAAAGGGUCACGGUGCAACACGAUUUGCUUUCACAAGCUGGUAACAUCAUGUCUUCCACUCUCUUUUUGACAUCCUCAGUGUUGGAAAUCUAGAAGUAUGUGUUUUUGAAAGUAGUCAGUUACUGUCAUAUAAUCCCAAACUAUGCUUUGUGCAAGCACUCACACCAUUGUAUUUUAGCACUAGUAUCAAAGCACUAUGUUGGAGUCUCUGAAUUUACACUGGGUGCUGAAGAUACGACUACUGAAAACAGAAAGGCAAUCCUCAUGUUCCCGUAUGAAAAGCAAAGAGAUGUUACAUUUUUGAGCUGUUACAACUACUUUUCAAAUCUGGAUUGCAGGAUGUGUGCAGCACCUGAAUCACCAGCACCUCUGUUCCUCGGGCCCCUUGGUUGCUGGUGGUAAAGCUCCUACUGAUUUCUUUAUGUUGUGAAAAGAGAUGGUUGUAAGCACUGGUCCCUUCCCUCUCUACAGCACCUGAAUAGAAAACAAGCACAAUUAUCUGCUGUAUUACACUGGCAGUGGAAUUACCUUACUAAAGAUGUCAUACACGGUCAACCUCUUUUGCAAACGCAGAGUGGCAAAACUGAGCCAGAAGAUCCUGAGUGCCAAGUCAACUUUCCUGCUCUGCACAGAACCGCUGUGAAAGCUAGAUGGAAACUACUUCACAAACUACUAAGAUCUCUCUAGUGCCCGGCAUCAUAAAUUGUUACUCAUUUCCGCAAGGCACAGCUGACAGCUGACAGCGGGAAAUGAAGAAAUAAAAACUACUUUUUUUUUUUUUUUAUUCCAUCCAAAAUGAAAUUUGCCUUCUGUGAGCACUUAGCUUGUUGUGCCAAGCUUAGGAGGUGAAGAGUGGGUCUGCUACCUCCUCGUGGGGGCUGGUUCUUGGUAAUUUUCAGUCGGUUCAGGGGCAGCAGAAGCCACAUCUCUAGUGAUGAGUUUUUGUUCCUUGUAUUAAUUGCAUGAUCUGCUUCACUGAUCAAAUUGUGUAUAAAUGGAACAGCCUAAAAGUAAUUGUACAGCUGAGAAGCUGACAAGUUAUUGUGCCUUAUGGCUACUGCAGCCAUGUGGUAAGGACCAACAAGGCAAAAAUUGGUAUCUUUAACCUCUUGUAUCCCCUAACUUUCCCCUAUGAACUGCCUGUCACCUUAAUUUGUCAUUUUGAUCAAUUUAUGAAAGCAACUUUUUUAUGUGGUGGCCUCCAAUUUCCCAGAGACAACUGCCCAGUCCAUCCCAUGUUCCUGAUUUUCCUGCUGUUGGUGCUGUAUUUCCUUUCCUUCCCCCCUCAAUUUUCACAUCUGAUGUUGGUAGUGAUGGUGUGGUUUGUAGGUCUGUUUUUCCAGGGUAGGGAGAUGAAUAUGGAGAAGAAAUAAGCCACAUAACAGCAAUGUUUGGAGUGUCAUUGAGACCGCCUUGAUAAUUUUUUUUUUGCUUGCAAAGCAGAUGUCUGUAACACACUCAGACUCUUCACCAUCGCAUAUUAUCAUGAAGCCAUUUUAGCAUAAUCAUUUUUAAUUUAUGUAUUUCCUCUCCACAGAAGAAUUUAAAAUUAGUCUUUGUAGAGUAAAUUUAGCUCUCUCUUACAACUUAAAAUACCAGAAUAGUAUUGUUUAAAAAGCAAACAAACACAAAUAUAUGUCUUGCAAUGGGAAUUUUGUGGUUAAUACAAUAAAGUUUCUUUCAGGCUGCUUGCUUGGACUGCAAGUCAAGAGUUUUAUUUCCCUUCUGUUAUCAGGUAUCCCUUGAAAUGUUCACACCUAAGUUCUGAGAACUGCAUUGUUGUUAACUCUGCUUUUGAUGGCUAUCAGCAGGAUUUUACCACUUCUGAACAGAAGGAAAGGUGCACGUACGCAACAAUUUUCAGCGAAAAGGAAAACCGGAAGACAUUACUGUGUUACCGUAACUUGACCCAAGAGCAGAAGAGGCAAAUAUGCGUGAGUGCACUGAUAUUUGAUAAACUGGUAUCUUUCUCAGAAAGCUUGAAAGUGGUAAUUUUUGCAGCUCUUCCUUUUGUUCAGAUUGAUUAGGGUAUGCUUUAUUCUUUUCCUGCUUUCCUCCUCCCCAAAUUUGUAAGUAAAUGACACAAAAGAGAAGUCUGAUUUAAAAUCAGGCUUCAAUAUAUUGAAGGUAAGUAAGUGGGGAAAGCAGCAAAAAUCAGAUAUAGUGAAUAGGAAGAAGCUGGACACAGUUCAACCAAGUACUUGUGAAUAAAAGCCCAAGAUUGGAAGUCUGACCCCUUGAACAACUCAUUUAAACAGGGCCAUGGUGAUAACACAGGCCACCUCCAGCUUUAAAAUCACACUAAAGAAGUGGACCUACAGUUUUCUUGAGAGACUUGUGUAAAUUCCUGCUGUGACUAAGCCAGAUACCAGGGAAACAGCUUGCUUAUUUAUUUAUUUAUUUAUUUAUUUAUUUCCCCCCCACACUUUGGCAAUAAUUCUAAGAUAAAGAAAAAAGAAAUCUUUGAAAAAAAAAUAAUUAAACUCAGAAAUUGUUUUUUAAUAUGGGAUGAGCACUGGUACUUUAUCAGUCUGUUUAACUGGUGCUGUGUGACUUCUUCCUGAGUGUGGAUGUUCUCAGGUUGUCUUGUUCAGUUUGUUCUGUGUUUUGAGAAACAGAAAAUGUGAGAAAAUACAGAAAAUACGUAGGCACAAAAAAAAUGAAAGUAUACGUGUAUAGGUGAUACAUAUUUCAGUAUGCACAGAAUAUCAUGUCCAUUGUGAAUGUCAUUGUGUGUGAUGCAUCUCAGAAGCCGUGCCGAAGGAAGCGUGCAUCCCCGUGGGCACCAGGCUGCCGCGUCCGCGGGCUCAGGUGGGAUGAGGCAGUCGGCCCCAGGGACACCAUGCUUGGUGACAGGGCUCGAAACAGCAGCUGCACAAGUGACGAGAGCAUCACCACACAGGUCUGACACUCUCUGUGGCUCCCCUGCAUGCACCGUGCCCGAUUGCUUCUCAUUUUGGUUACCCCAGCGUGUGCAGCACUGCUCUGCUAGGCAGUGGCACCGUACAGCUCCCGGUGUUUGCCAGAGCCUCCUCGCUGUAUGACAGCUCUUGGAGUCAUCCAAACCCUGCCUCUGGCCUCCGCAGUGCCCUGCUGCAUGGGUAGAAGGGGCUGCAGCUUUGGUUCCUCACCUGCUUGACAUCUUAUGUGAACACUUGCUACCACCUAUUGAUUUUUAUGCACCUUGACAGACAUGUGUUGCUCAGAUAAGACAACCUGUGAGGACUUGUGCUGAUGUUCUUGGUUGUUUUGACAGCACUGAGAUACUUUCCUUAAGGAAUAUAAAAGCUGUGCUGCUAAUAAGAAGCAACAGAAACCACAUUGUGUGCUUUUCUCUCUCUCCCCUCCCUUUUCCACAUUUUUUCUGCACUGUUCCUCACCUCAUUUGCUCCUUCUUGAACUGUCUGAGUGAUGCUUCUCCAAUCAGCCCCUCAUCAAACCGAAGUGCCUCUUGGUGCCCUUCACCCCCCGCUCCCACUUCCCAUGGUCAAGUAACGUGGAUCCCAUCAGCUCACCUGCCCCAGGUGUCCCUUCUCAAACCAGCUGUACAACAACAGCCCACGAAUGCCAAGUGCAAGGCAUCAGUGCGACAUGAUGGGGAGAGGUCUCUGAAACUGCAACGUGUGAACCAGACUUAGGCAAAAGACUGGGGAAGACGUCCUGGGAACUGCCCUGCCAGCUCGAUUAAAUCUCUCAGGAGCCUGGAGAAGUGUGGCUUCGUGCAGAAGACAGAGACAAAGGCUUCCUAGUCCUGCUGUGAGCUCCUUCUCUGCAGCGGCUGCUGCUGCCCAGGCUCCUCUAAGCCAUUUGGUUUGUGUUUGGUGUAAGCUGAAGCCAGAGGAUUGUUGCACGGUCAUACUAGUGUUUAUUAUUCUGUGUUUGCUGAGCAGGUAGGCAAAAGGCAUGUUUUGAAGGAAGGGCCUUGUAGCAAUCUGGCAACUGGAAAACAAAUGAACCUCUUCUGCAGCCCACUGCGUGACACCCUGCUGUCCUUAGCUGCCUCCUCUGAACUUGGAUUUGCUAAAUUCCCAGCCGUGUCUCGGCUUGGGGAACACAUUAUGAAGCACAAUGGAGAGCAGGUGGUCCUGUGCAACCCUGUUUGUGUUCAGCCUGGUCCAAGAGAUUGGCUUGGGGGGUGGCAGAGAUCUGCGGGCAUACACACAAUCCAUCACCGGUGCUUCUGACGGACGGCGAGGAGCUGCUCCAGCUGCUGCUCGGCUUCAGAUGGGCUUUGAAAUAUAGGCGGGUUGAAGGACAUAUGAGUUUUUCUUUCACGAUAACAAAAAUCAGCAUUUUGUUCUCCUAUCUGUACAGUUAAGGCAAUUUCCUACAAGCGGUGAUGAUUCCAGAGCAGUUUCUGCCUUGUGAUUGAUACAUAAAUGAGGUGAUUAUUUUUGGCAAUGCUGUGAUUUUAUUAUUAUAACAGAGAAAAUCGCAGCUAAUUCUCUGUUUGCUGAGGUUUUUAAUGCAUCCUCUGCACUAAAACACCUUGAGUCACCAGACAAAGGGGAAAUAACACAUUGCUGUGAGACAAAACCAGUGGUCCCCACUGGAGUAGACCAUCCAGAGAUCUGCCUCUUGCUCUCAGUAGCAGCCCUUAUGCAACAAAUAAAUAAAUAAAUAAAAUAAAAUAAAAAUAGCUCACAGGCUAUGAUGGAAGAUGCAGCAGAGAUGCACUCUCUGUGUUUGCCAGGCACUUUUAGAGAAAACUGUGAAGAUUUACUCCUAAUUGAUCAAAGCUUUUGCAAACCUGUAAAUGCCAAGGCUGACUUGGAGGAUGUGGUCCUGGAGAGGCCAGAUGCUGCCCAUAGUGGCUGUUGCAGCCUCAGAAAUAGGGUUGCCCCCCUCCAAAGCAUCACCUGCACAGGAUCUGGGGUCUCACAUGGCUGCUGCACUGUGCGUGGGGCUGAGCCCUGCUCCCCUGCACUGCCCUGUCCCAUCCUGUCCCCCUUGUCAUGGUACUGUUGCCUCUCCCUGUGGUGCACAGUUUUGCCUACACUGCCGAGAGCCCUUGAGCCAGCCUGGGUAUUUAGGGAAGAAAAUAGCAGAAAACAGGUAAUAGAUAAGGCAAUAUUUUAUUUUGUAAUAAAUAUUUGGAAUACAGUUUCCAAACUUCAUUUAAAAGUAUAUUGCAAGGAGAAUCUGAACGUCCCUUGUAAAUAAUAAAGAUGAUGUUUUCCAUUGGAAAUAAAAUCUGUAGCUUCUUUGAAGUUCGUUUCUUUAAGCAUGAUACGAAUUAUUCAUUUCUUGCCCCAUUGCCUGACCACCUGGGUUACUCUGUAGCAUCAGCGUCUGCAUCUGUACAAUGGGAGUAGCACUACUGUGCAUCUUUGGAGAAGAAACUGGGGUUUCAGAGUAAAGGGGUGAUUUAAAUGCUGGAUUUUACUUCACGUGAUAGAUCUGCAAUCUGAUUAAAGUGAGUUGUGAGACUACCAUGGAACGCAGUGGAGCAAUAUUGGAUUAUUGCAAAAUGCAGACUAGAAAUUAAUUACAUAUUUAUUACCUUUAAAAUAAUUAUCUAUGACAUUCCCUGUUAACCCUUUCAUUGUUGUCUCACACAGGCCAAAAGCCAGAUACCCAACAAGUGACUCCGCAUAAAUUUGGACACGGACAGGACAUGCUCAUCUUUCUUUUCAAAGCAAUUAAAAUUCUCAUUCACUCUUUCCAUCUCUCAUUCUUGCCACAUGUAAUGAAGCAGAAAGACAACAAGGGACACGGUCACUGGGGAUGCUUGUCAAGUCUGUGACAAGCCGCAGAAGUUCCCUAUUAAUAUCACUUGUGAAAACUUCCACAAAGAAAUGCUCCGGUUCCAAGGUCAAGUAUUCAGCUGUGAGGAAAUAACCGUGUCAUAACUUCCCCGGCCACCUCAGCUCAGUUUCACCAUAUAUAGCCUUUAUAAUAUUUAAUUACGUUAUCACAGAUAAUAACCUCUUCAAGGUCUAACCGAUACUAUCAGAGGAGUUUAUCCUCAAUAUGAACAAUUUCAACCAGAAAUGUAUCAAUUUAUGUCUCAAAACUCUAAGAAAAUUAAAAUAAGGUAUUGCAUUUAUAAACUUGA